This 465-nucleotide ribosomal RNA is filed under the name uncultured bacterium. Its description in RNAcentral is "partial 16S ribosomal RNA". It matches the Rfam family "Bacterial small subunit ribosomal RNA", at positions 28 to 507 of the family's 1533-position model. The record is from RNAcentral.
GACGAACGCUGGCGGCGUGCUUAACACAUGCAAGUCGAACGGUAAGGCUCCAGCUUGCUGGGGUACACGAGUGGCGAACGGGUGAGUAACACGUGGGUGACCUGCCCUGCACUUCGGGAUAAGCCUGGGAAACUGGGUCUAAUACCGGAUAGGACCGCACCGUGAGGGUGUGGUGGAAAGUUUUUUCGGUGUGGGAUGGGCCCGCGGCCUAUCAGCUUGUUGGUGGGGUAAUGGCCUACCAAGGCGGCGACGGGUAGCCGGCCUGAGAGGGUGGACGGCCACAUUGGGACUGAGACACGGCCCAGACUCCUACGGGAGGCAGCAGUGGGGAAUAUUGCACAAUGGGCGGAAGCCUGAUGCAGCGACGCCGCGUGGGGGAUGACGGCCUUCGGGUUGUAAACUCCUUUCACCAUCCACGAAGGGUUUCUGACGGUAGAUGGAGAAGAAGCACCGGCUAACUACGUG